Molecule: ribosomal RNA, 921 nt
Filed under: Schizomida sp. MCZ IZ-89337 106353
Lineage: Eukaryota; Metazoa; Arthropoda; Arachnida; Schizomida
Description: SSU rRNA
Rfam family: Eukaryotic small subunit ribosomal RNA
Source: RNAcentral
UCAUAUGCUUGUCUCAAAGAUUAAGCCAUGCAUGUCUAAGUACGUGCCUAAGAAAGGUGAAACCGCGAAUGGCUCAUUAAAUCAGUUAUGGUUCCUUAGAUCGUACCUUACUACUUGGAUAACUGUGGUAAUUCUAGAGCUAAUACAUGCAGCAGAGCUCCGACCUUCGGGGACGAGCGCUUUUAUUAGACCAAGACCAAUCGGACUUCGGUCCGAAGCUCAUGGUGACUCUGGAUAACUUUGGGCUGAUCGCACGGUCUCGUACCGGCGACGCAUCUUUCAAGUGUCUGCCUUAUCAACUUUCGAUGGUAGGUUAUGCGCCUACCAUGGUCGUAACGGGUAACGGGGAAUCAGGGUUCGAUUCCGGAGAGGGAGCCUGAGAAACGGCUACCACAUCCAAGGAAGGCAGCAGGCGCGCAAAUUACCCACUCCCGGCACGGGGAGGUAGUGACGAAAAAUAACAAUACGGGACUCUAUUGAGGCCCCGUAAUUGGAAUGAGUACACUCUAAAUCCUUUAACGAGGAUCUAUUGGAGGGCAAGUCUGGUGCCAGCAGCCGCGGUAAUUCCAGCUCCAAUAGCGUAUAUUAAAGUUGUUGCGGUUAAAAAGCUCGUAGUUGGAUCUCAGUUCCAGACGGGUGGUCCACCUCUGGUGGCUACUGCCUGGCCUGAACAAAUCCAGCCGGUUUUCCUUGAUGCUCUUCACCGAGUGUCUUGGGUGACCGGCACGUUUACUUUGAAAAAAUUAGAGUGCUCAAAGCAGGCGUGACGCCUGAAUAAUGGUGCAUGGAAUAAUGGAAUAGGACCUCGGUUCUAUUUUGUUGGUUUUCGGAACACGAGGUAAUGAUUAAGAGGGACAGACGGGGGCAUUCGUAUUGCGACGCUAGAGGUGAAAUUCUUGGACCGUCGCAAGACGAACUACU